RNAcentral lists this ribosomal RNA (253 nucleotides) under uncultured bacterium. RNAcentral describes it as "partial 16S ribosomal RNA". It matches the Rfam family "Bacterial small subunit ribosomal RNA", at positions 524 to 776 of the family's 1533-position model. The record is from RNAcentral.
GACAGAGGGUGCGAACGUUGUUCGGAAUUACUGGGCGUAAAGCGCGUGUAGGCGGCAACGCAAGUCGGGCGUGAAAUCCCACGGCUCAACCGUGGAAGUGGACUCGAAACUGCGUAGCUAGAGUCCUGGAGAGGAAGGUGGAAUGCUUGGUGUAGAGGUGAAAUUCGUAGAUAUCAAGCGGAACACCGGUGGCGAAGGCGGCCUUCUGGACAGUGACUGACGCUGAGACGCGAAAGCCAGGGGAGCGAACGGG